This 501-nucleotide ribosomal RNA is filed under the name uncultured bacterium. RNAcentral describes it as "bacterial SSU rRNA". It matches the Rfam family "Bacterial small subunit ribosomal RNA", at positions 59 to 558 of the family's 1533-position model. The record is from RNAcentral.
AAGUCGCACGAGAAAGUCCCUUCGGGGACGAGUACAGUGGCGGACGGGUGAGUAACGCGUAUGGAACCUGNGNUUGAGCGGAGGACAACUACCGGAAACGGUAGCUAAUACUGCAUAACAUCCACGGGUCGCAUGACUUGUGGAUCAAAGCCUUCGGGCGCUCAGGGAUGGUCAUGCGUCGGAUUAGCUCGUUGGUAAGGUAACGGCUUACCAAGGCAAUAAUCCGUAGCUGGUCUGAGGGGAUGAUCAGCCACACUGGCACUGAGACACGGGCCAGACUCCUACGGGAGGCAGCAGUGGGGAAUCUUGCGCAAUGGGGGCAACCCUGACGUAGCCACGCCGCGUGGAGGAAGACACCCCUAUGGGGCGUAAACUCCUUUUCUGUCGGAAGAAAACUCUGUUUUGCAGGGCGUGACGGUACGACAGGAAUAAGCACCGGCUAACUCCGUGCCAGCAGCCGCGGUAAUACGGAGGGUGCAAGCGUUGUCCGGAAUUACUGGG